CGGAUGAACGCUGGCGGCAUGCCUUACACAUGCAAGUCGAACGGUAACAGGUCUUCGGAUGCUGACGAGUGGCGAACGGGUGAGUAAUACAUCGGAACGUGCCCGAUCGUGGGGGAUAACGCAGCGAAGGCUGUGCUAAUACCGCAUACGAUCUACGGAUGAAAGCGGGGGAUCGCAAGACCUCGCGCGGACGGAGCGGCCGAUGGCAGAUUAGGUAGUUGGUGGGAUAAAAGCUUACCAAGCCGACGAUCUGUAGCUGGUCUGAGAGGACGACCAGCCACACUGGGACUGAGACACGGCCCAGACUCCUACGGGAGGCAGCAGUGGGGAAUUUUGGACAAUGGGGGAAACCCUGAUCCAGCCAUGCCGCGUGCAGGAUGAAGGCCUUCGGGUUGUAAACUGCUUUUGUACGGAACGAAAAGGUCCUUUCUAAUAAAGAGGGCUCAUGACGGUACCGUAAGAAUAAGCACCGGCUAACUACGUG
This 484-nucleotide ribosomal RNA is filed under the name uncultured bacterium. RNAcentral's name for it is "bacterial SSU rRNA". It matches the Rfam family "Bacterial small subunit ribosomal RNA", at positions 27 to 507 of the family's 1533-position model. The record is from RNAcentral.